GGGUCAGUAGGUUGGUCGUGCCACAGGUACGUACUGGUCUCACUGAUUCCUCCUUCCUGAAGAACCGUAAUGCCAUUAAUUUGGUGUUGCGGGGAAACAGGACUGUUACUUUGAAAAAAUUAGAGUGUUUAAAGCAAGCUAACGCUUGAAUACAUUAGCAUGGAAUAAUGAAACAGGACGAUCGAUCCUAUUUUGUUGGUUUCUAGGAUUGACGUA
Molecule: ribosomal RNA, 216 nt
Filed under: Glomeromycotina sp.
Lineage: Eukaryota; Fungi; Glomeromycota
Description: partial small subunit ribosomal RNA
Rfam family: Eukaryotic small subunit ribosomal RNA (bases 40-216)
Source: RNAcentral